Molecule: long non-coding RNA, 2757 nt
Organism: Paramisgurnus dabryanus
Lineage: Eukaryota; Metazoa; Chordata; Actinopteri; Cypriniformes; Cobitidae
Source: RefSeq, a predicted model, not a curated record
AGUAAGGUAAGUUUGAUUUAAUUCAUUUGUCUGCAUCGCGCUGAUCGGUUGCCUAUUUGUUCAUAUUAUGUUAUUAACUAUGAUUCGUUUUUGUCUUUAUACUAGAACUGUUUGAAUUUAAACCACAAACAGUAAAACAUUAAGGUUAUACGUGGUACACAGCGGUAAACAUGAGGUUAAAAAUACGCGAAGUAACAUUCAAACCGGGCUGUUAAAAGAAUCAAUUCGAUGUUUAAAUUUUUAAAAACAAAACUUUAAAGAAGCCAAGAUGAGACGUUAUUUGCUUAAAACAAACAAAACAACAGUAACUCGUGUGUUUGAAAUGUUAGCAGCUAGCAAGUGUCUCUCUGCUAUUUUAAAUGGUACUGACGAUCUUUUGUUGUUUUAAAAGCUCAUUCAGUUCUGGUAGAUGCUGCUUAUUUUUCAAGACUGUUUUAAUAGCUUUAUAUUGAUUUGUAACAAAGCCAGCUUCACUUUAAGAGAACCUAGAUGCUAAUUGUAAAGAAGCUUGGAGUCAUAAUAUAUUUAAACGUUAUAUGUUUGCUGUUCUUCAUCUUUUUAAAUAUGAAGUCUAUACAUGUUUGUGUUUACAGAGGUCAUGUACACUGUGGUCAACUUUGUGGACGAUGAAGAGGUUUCUGGGUAAAGCUGAUAGAAAUAUAAUGAAGUAACAGUAAAAGCUAAAACAUCAGACUGAUCCAGACACUGAAGAAAUUGAUGUCACUGCAAUCUGGCCAAAAUGAUACAACUAUAUUGAAGUAGCCUACUGUAAUGAAGCUGCAGAACAACACAUAGACUCUGAGGACAUAAACACAGAAAAUGAAGGCUCCAAAGAGAUGUCUGUCCAGAUGAGGGUGCAUCAACGUUACAUUUGCUGACAAGUAUUUGCUUUACAAUGUAAAACCUAACAGUUAACUUAACUCGAACCAUUUAAGGAAAUCGGUUGCCUUAACCCAUUAAGUUUAAAAAAAAAACAUACAUUUGAGUACUGUGAACUUAAGUCUUGUGCAAUAAUGCACUUAUAUUUAGUUAGUGUGAACUUAAAUAUAAGUGCAUAACUGCAUGUGACUCAAUUUGUUUAAGUUCACAGUACUCAAAUCUAUGUGUUUUAAAACUUAAAUGGUUUAAUGCAACCGGUUUUCUUAAAUGGUUUGAGUUUAGUUAACUUUUAGGUUUUACAGUGAGAAAUUCUUGAAUAAUUCCAAGACAGAGCUCUGCAAUUGUAUCUACACUGCAAAAAAUCAGUUUCUAACUUAGGAUUUUUAUCUUGUUUUUAGUAGAAAAACUAAAAAUUCUUAAAUCAAGAUGUAUUUUCUUGAUGAGCAAAAUUACCUAAGAAAAUGUCUAGUUUUUAGACAAAAAUAUACAAUUUAAGUAAAUUUGUGCCUAAACAAGCAAAAAUAUCUAACAAUGGGGUGAGAAAAUUGUGCUUGAAUUAAGUUUUUAAGAAAAAAGAAAACUUAAGAUUUUUUCAGAUAUUUUAGCUUGUUUUAAGCACAAAUUCACUUAAAUUGUGUGCAUUUAUUUAUUUUGUCUAAAACUAGACUUAUUUUCUUAGGUAAUUUUGUUCAUCAAGAAAAAGCAUUUUAUUUAAAUAAUAUUUCUACUGAAAACGAGACAAAAAUACUAUGUAAGAAAGUCAUUAUUUUGCAGUGUAGGACUGAUUUCUUGAACAACUAUAUUGAUCUUGCUUUAUUUUAUUUAGAUAUUUACUACAUUACAGUGGCAGCUGGUGACUCCUUUUUUUGUGAGCACUCGAUGCAAAGUUUGUCACAACAUGUAUAUAGCCAGUCAUUUGUGUGGUUCAAAAUAUGUGUUCUGCGUGUAUGUGCAUCACGUGUUUUGACUAAACCCGUGAUGCACAUGGUUUACAUGAAGCAACAAACAUAUUUUAAAAACACAAGCAACACACAUGACACUCCGAACACUUAUUUUGAAUUUGCACCCCUCGGAUGAGCAGUCACGAGCCGCCACUGCUACAUUACAUUGUACUGCUUUGAAUGUAAUUUUUAUUGUUGCUUUUAUUUUGUUUUAUUUUACUCUAAUAUUGCUUUCUCUGUCUGUAUAUUUAUGAGUUUAAAUAGUAUUGUUUAUGUAUGCAACUUUUAAUAUUUGUGUAUAAUAUUAUUUUGUUAUUGUGACAAUUGUGAAUUGUUCAGUUUUUUAUUAAAUAAACAUUUCAAACUCAAUUCAAGUUUUUUAUUUUACAUAAGGGUUUUGGGGUGUAUAUAAAUAUGAAUAUAUAUAUAUAUAUAUAUAUAUAUAUAUAUAUAUAUAGUGGGGGGGUUUGUAGUCUAUCUGCAUAGCAGGCAAAUAACCAAUCAAGUCACUAAGCUAUGAGGGCUUGGGUUGGGCUUAAUACAAAGUGUAACCAAUCAAAUGAUCUCAACUGGAAAGUUUCAAAGUUGUGUCCCAAUAGUUGUCAGAGUUUUGGGAGGGGGUUUUAAAAGCAACCAAUCAGUGUUGAGAUUAAACACCAAUGGAGACACUAGAAUUGUGCAAAGGUGUGAAAUCCCAGUACCUCUGCAGGUGUGAAAAUGUCCCCUGACAAAAUCUUCAAUGGGAUUAUUUGCCAUGGCAACAAAUGGCUGCAUGUACCACAGGAAUAUCCCAUCAGCAAGAUACAUCCGAAUUGGUAUCAUUACGGGAGUUUCCUAACUUGGUGGAAUUAGAAGUUUACCCUCAGUGGAACUAGUAGAUACAUCCGAAAAUCAGUGGUGUUUACAGGAGUUUCCUAGUACGGAUACACCUCUUUUC